This 58-nucleotide small RNA is filed under the name Aotus nancymaae (Ma's night monkey). Its description in RNAcentral is "7SK RNA (ENSANAG00000010813.1)". It matches the Rfam family "7SK RNA", at positions 274 to 331 of the family's 331-position model. Rfam says of the family: 7SK was discovered as an abundant small nuclear RNA in the mid-70s but a possible function has only recently been suggested. Two independent studies have found that 7SK RNA binds the CDK9/cyclin T complex (known as elongation factor P-TEFb). P-TEFb activates transcription by phosphorylating the C-terminal domain of RNA polymerase II. Lineage: Eukaryota; Metazoa; Chordata; Mammalia; Primates; Aotidae. The record is from RNAcentral.
UUCCAAGACUCCAGACACAUCCAAACAAGGUGCUGCAUGUGGCAGUCUGCCAUUUGUU